This is a long non-coding RNA of Oxyura jamaicensis (ruddy duck), 549 nucleotides long. RefSeq lists it as uncharacterized. The transcript is spliced from 3 exons. NCBI's taxonomy places the organism in Eukaryota, Metazoa, Chordata, Aves, Anseriformes, Anatidae. The record is from RefSeq and is a predicted model, not a curated record.
AUGAAGCACACAAACUUGUUUCACCUCAAAGUUAAAAGCAUUGAGAAGAAAUGAUCCAACUCCUCCAGCACGCUACCUACUAGAAACUUUAAUUUAGCUCCUGGUGCCACGUGGAAGUUUUCCCAUCCAGCGAGCAGCGAGGGAAUUUCCCCCAGGACCAGAUCCCCCUGGGGCACCCAGAACUGCCACCGCUGGCUCAGUUGAAGGGGAUCCCUGUGCCCGAGGCUCUGGGCGAUGGAUGGAGCCACCAGCCCUGUAGCAGAGGUGUUGAUGCCAUUGAUCAGCUCCAGCACUGGUUUCCCCCUCUUCUCCCUGCUAUAUUUUCCUCUUGGCUGGGGAAUAAAUAAAUAUGAGCAGCCGGCACCAUGUGCCUGGAGGCGGUAGGGCUGUGGGGUUUCCCCGGGGAGCGCAUUGGCCAGAAGCAUCCCCUCGUCCCUCCAUCCAUGGUGGAGAGCUGAGCAUUGCCCAGCCCCAUGCCCUGUGUCUUUGGGGGUGAAGAGGCUGCGUGGAUGUGGGUCAAAUGAUGCAGGGUUUGGGGAUUUGCGUUGC